CUGGAUACUGUCUGAAAAAUCCUUUUGCGCUUCCAAAGUACUGCCAGAUGAGAGAAGGGUCACGAUCAAAGUUAUCAACAAACACCUUAUUUAAGGAUUCUGACCAAUAAACUCCAUUUACAAUGGCUGGAUCUUUAUUAUACAUAUUAGUUGGUACUUGGACAUCACUCAGACUGAUAUUUACAGGCAAGUUAUUGAAGUGGUCGUUCGGCACUAGAAUGAAC
RNAcentral lists this long non-coding RNA (224 nucleotides) under Gallus gallus (chicken). Lineage: Eukaryota; Metazoa; Chordata; Aves; Galliformes; Phasianidae. The record is from RNAcentral.